RNAcentral lists this ribosomal RNA (303 nucleotides) under uncultured bacterium. Its description in RNAcentral is "partial 16S ribosomal RNA". It matches the Rfam family "Bacterial small subunit ribosomal RNA", at positions 507 to 809 of the family's 1533-position model. The record is from RNAcentral.
AGCAGCCGCCACGGUAAUACGUAGGUGGCAAGCGUUGUCCGGAAUUAUUGGGCGUAAAGGGCUCGCAGGCGGUUUCUUAAGUCUGAUGUGAAAGCCCCCGGCUCAACCGGGGAGGGUCAUUGGAAACUGGGAAACUUGAGUGCAGAAGAGGAGAGUGGAAUUCCACGUGUAGCGGUGAAAUGCGUAGAGAUGUGGAGGAACACCAGUGGCGAAGGCGACUCUCUGGUCUGUAACUGACGCUGAGGAGCGAAAGCGUGGGGAGCGAACAGGAUUAGAUACCCCCGUAGUCCCUGUCUCUUAUAA